This 335-nucleotide unclassified non-coding RNA is filed under the name soil metagenome. Its description in RNAcentral is "partial contains 5.8S ribosomal RNA, internal transcribed spacer 2, and large subunit ribosomal RNA". The stretch from base 1 to 120 matches the Rfam family "5.8S ribosomal RNA", at positions 35 to 154 of the family's 154-position model. The record is from RNAcentral.
GAUGAAGAACGUAGCGAAAUGCGAUAAGUAGUGUGAAUUGCAGAAUUCAGUGAAUCAUCGAAUCUUUGAACGCACAUUGCGCCCCAUGGUAUUCCGUGGGGCAUGCCUGUUCGAGCGUCAUUUACCCCCUCAAGCUCCGCUUGGUGUUGGGCGUCUGUCCCGCUUCGCGCGCGGACUCGCCCCAAAGGUAUUGGCAGCGGUCGUGCCAGCUUCUCGCGCAGCACAUUGCGCUUCUCGAGGCACCGGUGGGCCCGCGUCCAUCAAGCUCACCCCCCCAGUUUGACCUCGGAUCAGGUAGGGAUACCCGCUGAACUUAAGCAUAUCAAUAGCGGGGA